This 454-nucleotide ribosomal RNA is filed under the name uncultured Prevotella sp. Its description in RNAcentral is "partial 16S ribosomal RNA". It matches the Rfam family "Bacterial small subunit ribosomal RNA", at positions 341 to 792 of the family's 1533-position model. Lineage: Bacteria; Pseudomonadati; Bacteroidota; Bacteroidia; Bacteroidales; Prevotellaceae. The record is from RNAcentral.
ACGGGAGGCAGCAGUGAGGAAUAUUGGUCAAUGGGCGAGAGCUUGAACCAGCCAAGUCGCGUGCGGGACGAAGGCCCUACGGGUCGUAAACCGCUUUUAUACGGGAAUAAAGUGCGCCUCGUGAGGCGUUUUGCAGGUACCGUAGGAAUAAGGAUCGGCUAACUCCGUGCCAGCAGCCGCGGUAAUACGGAGGAUCCGAGCGUUAUCCGGAUUUAUUGGGUUUAAAGGGAGCGCAGGCGGCCUUUUAAGCGUGUUGUGAAAUGUAGGAGCUCAACUUCUGCACUGCAGCGCGAACUGGACGGCUUGAGUACGCGGGAAGUAGGCGGAAUUCGUCGUGUAGCGGUGAAAUGCUUAGAUAUGACGAAGAACUCCGAUUGCGAAGGCAGCCUACUGUAGCGUUACUGACGCUAAAGCUCGAAAGUGUGGGUAUCGAACAGGAUUAGAUACCCUGGUA